UUUUCUAUUUGCCACUUUUCCAAGUCAUGGAAGAGCACUGCCAGAGCAUUCCCUGAGAAGAGAGCAAAGUUGCUGUAACAGCCCUUGAUGUAUGGGGAGGAGAAGGGGAAGAGAAUGUUUUUUCCAACACUAUUAGGACCUAACAAACCCAACUAUCCUACAUAUCCAGCCAUCCCUUCACUCUUAAUCACAAACUGAUUUGCAGAACUAAUUUUGCUGCGGAAUAGAUGAAGAAUCUCUGAUGAAGAAUCAUGUAGUUGCCAGAAUCUGACAAUAUUGGAAAUAAUGUACUCGAGUCUGUCAACAAAGGUAGGAAAGACUUUCAUACUGUUUAUGGUACACAUAGUAGUAGUGGGUUUUUCAGUUUCAUUCCAGAUAUAUACCAUGAUGCCUUCACUCUGUCUGUAGAGGAUGUUGCUGCCGCCUUCUGUUGGCAAUUAUUUCACUCAGGUAUGACUAAAUAGGAUUACCCAGAUCAAUAUUUUCACAUUAACUUUUACUUCACUUAACUCAUAUGCUGUCAUCCAGGCCUAAUCAUCUGUCCCGAUGUUGUGUUUUCAUUUUAUGGAUCUUCAUUAAUCUCUGUGCUCUAAAUCCUGUUCUGUUCUACACACCUUCCCAGCUGCAAACCCGAGUGUCACAUCACUUGUCAAGAUGAUUGCUUAAAUAUAUUUGGAUGUGCCUGGAAAAAUAGAACUCUGUGUUCUACACACAUUAAGUUUAUCCCACUAUCCCCUGCAGGAUAAAGACAUUUCUUGUUAUGAACAAUAUAUAACUGAUUUUUUAUUAUGAACAAAGUUUAUAGAAAAUAUUAAAUAAAAUAUUAAAAUAAAUAUGAAUAUAAUUGAGAUUCUACUACACAGAUGUUCAUUCAGAUUUUGACAUCCUAACCAAUUUUUUAUCUAUAUGUUUAGUUUAUAAACUUAGCCACAGAUAUCAUUAAUCUGGCGAUGAGUUUUAUCCAAAAGGCCCUAUUUUUGAUUGUUGUUCACUGCCUUGUUUGUUUUGCAGUCUGUAUAACAAUUAAAGCUAUCUUUAAGUCAGAAGGCUGCUUUCUUUUGCUGUCUGUUAUUCCAACAAUCUGAUGCAGAUUUGAAGCAAUCCCUUUAAGAUGGGUUCAAAGGUUCAUCCUUAUGGGCCAGGAAUAAAUAUACAAGAGCUUCCCACUACAUGGGUUGCAUUCCACAUAAAGCUGUCUUUUGCCAUCUGCUUGCCACUGCUGAAUCCAGGCCUUAGUGGUCUCUCUAAAACUUGGAGGUGAACUCCAGAAAGCUUGAUAAAAUAUAAUCCGAGGCUGAAUUUAAUACUCCUUGGAUAUAAUAUCUCCCUUGACUACUGUGUUGAAUUUUGAUACAAAAUGUAUGAGAUUAUCUAGAUUAUCAGCUUUUGUCACACAAUAAUAGAUCACAACCUGCAAUCAGAUCCAGUAGUCAAAUUCUGUGUGUGUAGAAGGGCAAAAGGAAAAAAGAUGCAAUGAAACAAAAUGGGACCAAAUCCUGUUAUCUGACAUGUUUGUCUGAACUGCAGAUGACACCAGAAGUAUGCAAUGUCCAAACAUAUUUGCAGGAGGUCUAAAUCCACAGAUAAUCUUCAUCUGGAUGUAGCCUCUUAACUCAAGGACAUAAGUGCAGCAUUAGAAAAGUUAUUCCAUAUCUACAGGACACGAUAUCCUAGCAUUUACUACACUCCCCAAAUCUCUCUCUCUAAACUUUGAAGCUUUAAAAAGCAAGAGCUGGCUGACAGCAAGCAAAAUAAAACCGUUAGAAUCACAUCUGAAGACAUAAGAAGCCAUCAAUUAGAGGAUUGCUCUGAAUUAGCUUUUCCCAGAUUUCUCUGCAGUGACAUCAAUUAGCUGAUGUUAAUAUUGGCCAGCACUGUGCACAGCACCACUGGUGCCAGCAAGCCAAAAUACCAUAGUUGGAAGUUAAAAGUCUGUUAAUAGAGUUCAAACUGCAAACAAGAUGCAAAUAUCAAGAAUGAUUGCAAUGGCACACUAGAGGAUAGGAUGCAUUUUCUGUCAUUUGCAGUCUUUAAAUCGAGGUUAGACAGCUAACAGACAUGUUUUAUUUCAGCCACAAAUGGCAGGGCUUUAGGCAGGAAUUACCGAGUAAAAUUAAGUCAGGCGACACAAUUAGACUGUUCCUUUCUGGCUUUCACAUCUAUGAAAAUCCAGUUUCCUGGGGCAGCAGCCCUCAUCGCAGAAGAGCAGCCCACACAGCGUGCUCAAGACCUGGAAACCUGCUGCUAUCACUUCAUCAGCUGAAGUCCCUGCUGAGGACUCAAGCUUGUGGCACUGAGAUGAGGGAGAGUCAACACAUAAAGCUGUAUCUUAAUAUGCUAAGCCACUAUGCCAGCUGAUUCCCUUGCUGCUUUGAGCUAAGUAAUUAUUUUAAAUAGCUGUAAAUCAGAAAAGGGCUUUGCUUUUAAAAGAAAAAUAUACUGUAAUCCAUGUGUGAAUUAAUGCCCUUGGCUAUUUUCUCUCUCUCACGUGUACAAACACUAAAAGCAAUGAAUUCAUCAGCAAUUUUUGAGCCUUUGUACUCCUUUUCCAGAUGAUAAUUUCAUAACGAGUUUGAUGCCUGAGUUUUGGCUGCUGUGCUAAAACUGACACUACCACAAUUAUGUUCCUAAAAGAUUCACAUGCUUUAUUAAACGAUCUAUUAAGACAAAGCUGUAAAUACACAAGAACAAAACAAUAAUCCUUGUCCCAGUAUAAGUGCCUCAGCCUGCUGAUUUUCAGGCCAUACAGUAUUAUGCAGUACAAUGUAUUUCUCUGGGAAGGUGACAGCUGGAGGUGUGGCUGGGUGGGGUGAAAACCCCCCAGCAGCCAUAGGGGAGCAGAUGUUUGCAUUACCUCCUGUAGCAGGUUUGUUUUUGUUGGCAGCUGUCAAUAAACUGUUGCUGGCUAA
Long non-coding RNA from Chiroxiphia lanceolata (lance-tailed manakin), 2909 nucleotides. RefSeq lists it as uncharacterized. The record is from RefSeq and is a predicted model, not a curated record. The transcript has 2 exons. Lineage: Eukaryota; Metazoa; Chordata; Aves; Passeriformes; Pipridae.